This 253-nucleotide ribosomal RNA is filed under the name uncultured bacterium. RNAcentral describes it as "partial 16S ribosomal RNA". It matches the Rfam family "Bacterial small subunit ribosomal RNA", at positions 524 to 776 of the family's 1533-position model. The record is from RNAcentral.
UACGAAGGGGGCUAGCGUUAUUCGGAAUUACUGGGCGUAAAGCGCACGUAGGCGGAUUUGUUAGUCAGGGGUGAAAUCCCGGGGCUCAACCUCGGAACUGCCUUUGAUACUGCAAAUCUCGAGUCCGGAAGAGGUGAGUGGAAUUCCUAGUGUAGAGGUGAAAUUCGUAGAUAUUAGGAAGAACACCAGUGGCGAAGGCGGCUCACUGGUCCGGUACUGACGCUGAGGUGCGAAAGCGUGGGGAGCAAACAGU